AUGGUGCUGCCGACCCUAGAGGUGCCGGCCCCACGAUGGAGAGCACGUAGUGCCCCCCGGGAGUCAGGAGGCCGGGCCUGACCUCGGGGGCUGCAGCCAGGGGAGGCCGGCACCCCAGAUAACCCCCAAAGAACUGCAGGCCCUGAGGCGAGGCCAGAGUGGGGGCGGGGGCAGGUCCCAGCCGAGGAGGUGCUCCGUGCUGCCUCAGCAGAACCCAUGAUGGGCUGGCCCAAGGCUCUGAAGGUGGAAAGGCCUCACACAUUCUGCCCCGGCUGACGCCUUCCUUGGGCCAGUGCUCGGGGGUGUGUAACAAACGCCAAGACGCAUUGUAAAGAAGGAAGCCUGCGUUUCCAUCACCGGCUUAAUAUCAAACAAAAGUGCAAUUUUGAAAAUGUAGUCCAAGGUUUUCUGUGGUGCGGAAAUGGCCAGGCCAGACCUCCGUGGGUGGUCCUUCGUGUCCACGUCAGCGCCCUACAUCCACACUGUGGGCACCAUGACCUCACAUGCGGAGCGGAGCAGGGCCGGCGCCCGGAGAGCCAGGCUGGUCACGAACGAGGCCUAGAGGGCGUCAGGCCCCAAAGCACUCACAGGCUUCUCCUCUGUCCUCGGGGCCUUCAGACACCUGCAUGCGCCGAUUCAGCCACCCGCGCGCGCCGAUUCCCCUGGCCAUGGGGUUUCCAAAGUGUGUGCUCAGAGGACAGUUUCCUCCAGGAUGACCUGAGGCGUUUGCUGAGAGGCACAGGCUGAGCCCCCGUGCUGAUGCCACGACCGAGGGAACGGGUCUCCCUGUCGGCGUGAACUGACCCGGCCAGGCGUCCACUGCCACUCGGACUGUCUCCCAGGCACGUGGCGCCCACACGGGCAGAACACGCCCUCCACACACGCGGCUUCGGGCAGAACACGAGGCGCCCUCCACACACGCGGCUUCGGGGCUUGUCAUGAAAAAAGCUGAAUGCUGGGGGUGCAGCUUUCACCAACAGAAUCCCGUUUGGAAGGGACGCGAGUGACGCUCCGUGUUUCGUUCAGCCUGCAGGCCUGCAGAAGCUGCAUCUCGGGAUGGCCAAGAGCCCGGCCAGGCCCCACGGCUGCACCCAGGACGGGAUUCAUGCCCCAUGCCUGGCUUCUCACGACCACAGAGUGCCUUUCCCGGGACUGGAUGGAGGCAGAGUGAGAGAAGAGCCUGGAGCAAGUGUUUUGGACCACAGUGAUCAAACACGGAGCCCGUGGGAGGACGUGGGAGGACGUGCGGGGCUUUGCCGGGCGAGCCCGAUGCUGCUCACGGCACCUGGAGUGUUCGGGCCGCUAUUUGGGCGGUGUUCUGAGCAGCCGUCAGACCUUGAGUUUUGCUGUCAAAAGCUCUUCUCUCCUGCCCCGAAAUAUACCCAGUCCAUGCCCCAAGAGGAAAGGCCUUUGUGCCAGGUGGGCACCCGGCUGCCUCUUGGCAAAGACUUGUUGGAAAAAUGAGUGAGUGACGAGGCUGCUGGUCAGCGUGUGGCCUGUGGCGUCACUGGGGCCUCUGGCGGCUGCUGGAACCAGAAGAGGAGCCUGCGCUGCAACCCAGGCCGCACCACAUCAGGGUCUCACUGGGAGCCGGAGAGCUUGUUCCCAGGCAACCCUGAAACAGAGAAGUGUCCUUGGAGGCUUCACCCACGCAGACCCACGGCUUCCUGGUAGAAGCCGUCUGCACCCCCGCACUGACCUGGCUCUGUGAGGAGAGCGGGGAGGGGCUCCAGGGAAACAUCCUGGCGUUGGCGUAGCCAGCCUGUGAGUCACGGGGAAGCCGGCUGCCCGGAUGCCCCCCAAGGACCCGGUGAGUCCACACACAGUACAGCAGGGCCUGGGCCCGCACCACCGCCUUUUCCUGCAGGCCCCUCAUGUCCACUGACUGCACCUCCAGGGACUCUGCCCGGCAACCCAGGCGCCCCCGACACACCCCACCACACAGCUCCUUCUGCCUCACCCACACCCCGCCAGACCCUGAGCGCUCACGAAGUCUCCUUGUCAAGAACUUUGAGAGCCAGUUGCUAAACACAGAUGUUAUUUAUUUAUUUGAGACAGAGUCUUGCUCUGUCACCCAGGCUGGAGUGCAGUGGCACGAUCUCA
RNAcentral lists this long non-coding RNA (2103 nucleotides) under Homo sapiens (human). Its description in RNAcentral is "HSALNT0404695". The record is from RNAcentral. Lineage: Eukaryota; Metazoa; Chordata; Mammalia; Primates; Hominidae.